Molecule: long non-coding RNA, 355 nt
Filed under: Panax ginseng (ginseng)
Lineage: Eukaryota; Viridiplantae; Streptophyta; Magnoliopsida; Apiales; Araliaceae
Description: long non-coding RNA (PGIN_LNC008083)
Source: RNAcentral
UAGAAAAUUAUUUAUUACAUUCACUAAAUAUUCAAUUGAUUAGCAUCAGGAAAAACAAACCACUAAAUUGAAUCAGUCAAAAAUAAAUUUCCAUUCUAAACCUUAAAAUUAAUACUCCUAUUAAAACUAAAACAAUACAAGACAUCAAGAGGCCAAAGCGAAACCAAACAGAAAAUAAUGAAAUUCUAUUGUGUAUUUAUAUCACAAAUAGUACCAAUAGUACUGCGAUCCAGGAGGAAUUGUAAGCCCAAAGUGAGAUUAACCCAAUCGAGCGAGAGAGAGAGUUAUUCAAUCGAGCGAGAGAGUGAUUCCAAUCGACCGAGAUGAGCAGAGCAGCCGUUUGUUUAUGUUAGAG